GCAGCCGCCGCGGUAAGACGGAGGGGGCUAGCGUUGUUCGGAAUUACUGGGCGUAAAGAGCGCGUAGGUGGUUUAUCAAGUUGGAAGUGAAAUCCCAAGGCUCAACCUUGGAACUGCUUUCAAAACUGUUAGGCUAGAGUACGGUAGAGGGUGAUGGAAUUCCUAGUGGAGAGGUGAAAUUCGUAGAUAUUAGGAGGAACACCAGAGGCGAAAGCGAUCACCUGGGCCGUCACUGACACUAAUGCGCGAAAGCGUGGGGAGCAAACAGGAUUAGAUACCCCGGUAGUCCCUGUCUCUUAUAC
This 302-nucleotide ribosomal RNA is filed under the name uncultured bacterium. RNAcentral describes it as "partial 16S ribosomal RNA". It matches the Rfam family "Bacterial small subunit ribosomal RNA", at positions 508 to 807 of the family's 1533-position model. The record is from RNAcentral.